RNAcentral lists this ribosomal RNA (490 nucleotides) under uncultured bacterium. RNAcentral describes it as "partial 16S ribosomal RNA". It matches the Rfam family "Bacterial small subunit ribosomal RNA", at positions 30 to 507 of the family's 1533-position model. The record is from RNAcentral.
AUUGAACGCUGGCGGCAGGCCUAACACAUGCAAGUCGAACGGUAACAGAAAGCAGCUUGCUGCUUUGCUGACGAGUGGCGGACGGGUGAGUAAUGUCUGGGAAACUGCCUGAUGGAGGGGGAUAACUACUGGAAACGGUAUCUAAUACCGCAUAACGUCGCAAGACCAAAGAGGGGGACCUUCGGGCCUCUUGCCAUCGGGUGUGCCCAGAUGGGAUUAGAUAGUAGGUGGGGGAAAGGCUCACCUAGGCGACGAUCCCUAGCUGGUCUGAGCGGAUGACCAGCCACACUGGAACUGAGACACGGUCCAGACUCCUACGGGAGGCAGCAGUGGGGAAUAUUGCACAAUGGGCGCAAGCCUGAUGCAGCCAUGCCGCGUGUAUGAAGAAGGCCUUCGGGUUGUAAAGUACUUUCAGCGGGGAGGAAGGGAGUAAAGUUAAUACCUUUGCUCAUUGACGUUACCCGCAGAAGAAGCACCGGCUAACUCCGUG